UAACCAUGCCCUAGCCUUCCCCUUUUCAGCAGCCACACUUCACAUUUUCUCUCAAAAACACCAACCCUCCGCAAGAUGCGGUGACCAGUGCUCUGGGCUUCAAAGUAUGGCCGAUUUUAGCCACAGAUCUCCCUUCUAACUCCGAUUAAGACAGAGCGAAAGGGGACCGACGGCCUAGCAACGAGGUACAGGGUGCGUGCCGCUUGGGUACGGGGCUGUGCUGGCUGCUGAGACGCUGGCAUCGUACGGAGGGUGGGCGUGGCGCGAUGUGGUUGCUGUUUGUGAAGGCUGCGGCGCGAGGACCCCUUUGCCCUAGGGUUUGCUGAAACUUAGCUUGACUUUCGGGCCGUUUGGGUCUAUUCCAGUUAUUGGGCCCUUGUAUUUGGACUAUGGGGCAUUGGGCUGUGGAAUAUUGUAAUAAUUUGGACUGUAAUAGGACAUUAAAUUUUAUUUGGGUUUUACACUUA
This is a long non-coding RNA of Gossypium arboreum, 467 nucleotides long. RefSeq lists it as uncharacterized. NCBI's taxonomy places the organism in Eukaryota, Viridiplantae, Streptophyta, Magnoliopsida, Malvales, Malvaceae. The transcript is spliced from 2 exons. The record is from RefSeq and is a predicted model, not a curated record.